Long non-coding RNA from Micropterus dolomieu (smallmouth bass), 3912 nucleotides. RefSeq lists it as uncharacterized. The transcript is spliced from 2 exons. The record is from RefSeq and is a predicted model, not a curated record. NCBI's taxonomy places the organism in Eukaryota, Metazoa, Chordata, Actinopteri, Centrarchiformes, Centrarchidae.
UGUAUACAUGUACAUUCCUCCUUUGAGAAGCCUGAGGCUGGGUGUAAAGCCAAAAUAUUAGGGAACAAAAUCCCCCAAGCCGCCAAGUCAGAAAUAUCUGCGGUGAAUACCUUUCCAUGAAAUGCCUCCAUGAAGUUCAAUUCAGACCAAUUACUGUUGCUAAGUCAACAAUUCAAGGAACACUCAGCCAGCAGAGUACAUCCCCUGAGAUGUUAUCUGACCUCUCAGUUGAAAGGUCAACGCAGACCGAGGAAUGCAUCAAGAGAGGAUGCCUGAUAUACAUCGUAAAACCACUGGGGCUAGACUAGCACAGCAUACACCCUGCCAACAUAACCACACACACUUCUCGUGCACAUAAACCCACACACAUACAGGUUUACUGUAAAAUACCCCCAAAAAUGCAUACUAUUACACACUCUUGCAGACCAAAAUACACAUAUACACUCACUUAUAAACAGGCAACACACACACACACACACACACACACACACACACACACACACUCACAGACACACACACACACACACUCUCUCACACACACACACACACACACACACACACACACACACACACACAGGACAAGAAUAAGAUAAAGCCUGCCAACUUCAGAUGCUAUCACCACUGCUGAGUGCUAGAUUCCUCACACACACACUCCUCAGACAAAGGAGCAUUAUUAAACUGCAGCAAAGGCAUGGAACUCAUGAUUGCUUAUCAAGAUCAUGGUAUAAUUUACUAUAUUAAGUUAAACUUGUUGGCUCAAUUAUUCUUCAGUUGUAAGACCUCGUAAGGGAAUCAAGCAUGGUGUGUUUCUGUUUCAACUUUAAGCAGGCUUCACAAGAAGAAAUCUCAAAGAAAACUUGCAGAACUAAACCACACCGCUGACAUUAAUUGUAUGACUGUGGAAGUCAGUGCUGCAGUCUUGUUUAUAGUUUGUGGUAUGCAGGUUGAUGUGAUCCACUUAUGGGGGAAAAAAUGUGUUUGUACAAUCACAUUGUGUGGAUAAAACCCAGGUUAUUUUUUAGGCUGGCAGUUGGUUCAGGGUUGAGGUUUGAAUACUUAGGAUAUGGUCAGAGGGUUAGACAUGUAGUGGUUGUGGUUAGAGUAAGACUUGAGGGAAUCAAUGGAAAUCAAUACAGUGUCCUCAGAAGUGACAAAAAGUGCAGGUGUAUAGGAGUCUUGUGUGGUUUUUUUUCGUUGUGUUUAUUUAUACACACGUGAUAAUGUGUUUUCACCUUUUUACGUGCGUUAAUGCUAGUGUGCAUUAGUUUCAUUGCAGUGUGUGCAAUAAUUACCAAUGGUGAACACAUUCAUUUUCUGUGAGAGUAUGUGUGUGUGUGUGUGUGUGUGUGUGUGUGUGUGUGUGUGUGUGUGUGUGUGUAUUCUCAGACUCACACUCAGUGCUGAAUGUGCACAUACCUGCCUGCCUCAACGCUGUGAUUGCCCUGUCUGAUUAGAAUGUGGUGAGUUUAUUUAAACUGGGGAAGGAAGUGCAAUAUUCAGUUCACUAAGAAGAAGAUACAACUCAACAGCACCCCAAAAACUCACAGUGAAUACUCGAGCAUAGCUGGAUAUCCACUAAUAUGUACAAUCUCAGCCUCUCAGUAUUGGCAGGUAAUCGCUUAAAAAUUAUUUACUUUAUAUUACUAUCUAUGGCCACUAUUGCACCAAAUAUCUAACACUUUUUCUAAUGUUUAAGACAUAGAAAGGUUAAACGUUAAUAUUUAUACUAUAUGUGAAGUGUUAAAAAAGCAAUAUGUAGUUUUCAGCUGCCACUACCAUGCUGCUGUUUUAAGAUUGCAACCAGGUGUGAGCUCGUACGUGUGCUCACUUGAACUCAUCAGUGAGCAUAAUCUGAAACCCAAACGCUUUCAUACAGAGAUCCCACAAUCAACGCGGAAACACCAGCAUGCCAGCUGUGGCUUUUCUCCAGACAUGUUCCGGCUCUGUUACUUCAACCCUCGUACCUUUCAUGCUCUGCAGCGAGCCGGCAUAUUGGCACAAUAGUCCCUGAAGAAAAGGGAUUGUUACAGCGGCUAUAGCCAGACAGGGAGACAGCUUCACACAACAUGCGCAAUUAUUUUGCAUUAUUGUGGGUCACAUAAGUUAGAGAGAAGCUGUGUACCUGAGUAUUGGUAAAACGACAAUAAAUCUAUAUUGAAUGUUAAGAAGCAAACAUUCAACAUAGCUGACUGGUCCUGCCUUGCAUCGAGGCUAAUAUAAACAAAUCGCUCCACAUUUGCUUUGUACUGUUACAUCCUUUCUUGCAGGCUAAAUCAACACUUUGACAUAAUACCAGUGGUACACAGAAUAGUAAUAUGGAUCGCGUUAGUUAGUGAAGUAAUGUGGAAAGCCAUAACGUUACAUGUAGCGGAUAGCAUUAGCAACUGCUCGGCGAGCUGACGUGACUCUCUCCGUGUUUCUCCAGCCUUUCUGUUGUUCACCGUUUUCACCAACAUCAUCUGAUUCUCAUUUGGCCGGACAGGCUUUAGCACAUAAACCUUUAUUGUUGUUUUAUCCUUAAGUGGAGUUUAUGUUGGACUUUGUGUUGUGCUGGGAGCUGGUUGUUUUAUGGUGUUGGUGGACUGCAUGUCGUUAGCUGCGGUGUUGUUGCAGUAUAUAGCAGAAUAGUGGCUGUACCAAGCAACAGAGAAAACAGGCGUGUGCUUCAUUUGUACUUCCUUGAGGCUACACCCCUUUGACAAUAAGGCAGUGAAAAUUUGCUUUAUUAAUAAGUGAUUUCAUUGGAAAGCUACAGCCCCUUUAAUGUGAUCUGAAUUUCACUCUUUGAUAUUUGUUCAUAUGGGCUACUACUGCAAGAUGUUGUGAAAUCCACAACAAAAUAAAUACAGCUGCUGUGGGCCUGAGGAGUAAAUAUGUUUUCAAAUCAUACUGUUGCACUGUUACAGGUAUGAGCAGAAGGGAUUGUAUAAAAUGAGCUAAAAAAAAGAUGGCACAUUUGGAAAGUUUGAAAGGAUUGCAGAACAGAUGUUGAGGAUUUGAUUAGCCAAUAGGUUUUGUUUUUACAGAGCGAGCCAGAGGUUGGUUUGAGUGCAGGGCUAACUACUGAGAGGAGAUAGCGAGAAAGUUAAAAAUAAUGAAAGAAUGUGAAGCGAAUUAUGGUAGACAGACUUCACCAUGUCUCCAGGGAGUCAUCAGUCUGUCUGCUGAUAAAAAAGAAGAUAUAGAUCUGGACCAAACCCGUCCACCACACCUCAGAACAUAAUCAUCCUCCAAAUAGUGUUGCAUGUACUUGUGUGGGAAUGUGGGGAGUACUGCACAUACUUCUGCUGUUGUAUGGUAUGAUGAAAAUGAGCAGGGGUUCAGCCUUUGAUCGUGUAUAAAAGACAGCCAGACAUUGGGUAAGGAGAGAGGACGGACCAAGAGAUGGAUAACAAAGUAAAGGGAUGGAGAGAGGGAUAACAAAGACAGAGACACGGGGGCCAAAGUAAGCAAGACCACUGGUGGAUUCUAUGAUCUAACCAGCAACCAGUGUGUGUGUGUGUGUGUGUGUGUGUGUGUGUGCGUGUGUAUGUGCGUGUGUAUGUGCGUGCGUGUGCGCGCACGCGUGUGUUUGUGUGUGUGUGUGUGCGUGCCGGUGCUAUUGUCCCACUCUCUCUCAUGUGUAACCAGCACACAGUAGUGAAAAACAUGUUUUGGAUUUAAGUGCUAUGUUCAUAGUGAGCAUGUUGAGAUAAGCACACACACACAUGCAUGCCCUUUUCCACAAACACUCAGAGACAUAGCCCUGCAACGGACGCUCUGCAUGGAAUGAUCUCUCUGCUCCAAAUCCUGACUCAGUGCAACGUUAUGUUCUUCAAAAGAGAACUGUUUUUCACAAUAGUGAUGGUCUAUAACCAGGCAUUCUUCUGGCCCUACACUGUUAGUACAUUAAAAUAUUUGCAUUAAUCAAUA